GCAGUCGAGCGGCAGCACGGGUACUUGUACCUGGUGGCGAGCGGCGGACGGGUGAGUAAUGCCUAGGAAUCUGCCUGGUAGUGGGGGAUAACGCUCGGAAACGGACGCUAAUACCGCAUACGUCCUACGGGAGAAAGCAGGGGACCUUCGGGCCUUGCGCUAUCAGAUGAGCCUAGGUCGGAUUAGCUAGUUGGUGAGGUAAUGGCUCACCAAGGCGACGAUCCGUAACUGGUCUGAGAGGAUGAUCAGUCACACUGGAACUGAGACACGGUCCAGACUCCUACGGGAGGCAGCAGUGGGGAAUAUUGGACAAUGGGCGAAAGCCUGAUCCAGCCAUGCCGCGUGUGUGAAGAAGGUCUUCGGAUUGUAAAGCACUUUAAGUUGGGAGGAAGGGCAUUUACCUAAUACGUAAGUGUUUUGACGUUACCGACAGAAUAAGCACCGGCUAACUCUGUGCCAGCAGCCGCGGUAAUACAGAGGGUGCAAGCGUUAAUCGGAAUUACUGGGCGUAAAGCGCGCGUAGGUGGUUUGUUAAGUUGGAUGUGAAAUCCCCGGGCUCAACCUGGGAACUGCAUUCAAAACUGACAAGCUAGAGUAUGGUAGAGGGUGGUGGAAUUUCCUGUGUAGCGGUGAAAUGCGUAGAUAUAGGAAGGAACACCAGUGGCGAAGGCGACCACCUGGACUGAUACUGACACUGAGGUGCGAAAGCGUGGGGAGCAAACAGGAUUA
RNAcentral lists this ribosomal RNA (729 nucleotides) under uncultured Flavobacterium sp. RNAcentral describes it as "bacterial SSU rRNA". It matches the Rfam family "Bacterial small subunit ribosomal RNA", at positions 57 to 780 of the family's 1533-position model. Lineage: Bacteria; Pseudomonadati; Bacteroidota; Flavobacteriia; Flavobacteriales; Flavobacteriaceae. The record is from RNAcentral.